RNAcentral lists this ribosomal RNA (484 nucleotides) under uncultured bacterium. RNAcentral describes it as "partial 16S ribosomal RNA". It matches the Rfam family "Bacterial small subunit ribosomal RNA", at positions 30 to 507 of the family's 1533-position model. The record is from RNAcentral.
AUUGAACGCUGGCGGCAGGCCUAACACAUGCAAGUCGAGCGGAUGAAGGGAGCUUGCUCCUGGAUUCAGCGGCGGACGGGUGAGUAAUGCCUAGGAAUCUGCCUUGUAGUGGGGGAUAACGUCCGGAAACGGGCGCUAAUACCGCAUACGUCCUGAGGGAGAAAGUGGGGGAUCUUCGGACCUCACGCUAUCAGAUGAGCCUAGGUCGGAUUAGCUAGUUGGUGGGGUAAAGGCCUACCAAGGCGACGAUCCGUAACUGGUCUGAGAGGAUGAUCAGUCACACUGGAAGUGAGACACGGUCCAGACUCCUACGGGAGGAAGCAGUGGGGAAUAUUGGACGAUGGGCGAAAGCCUGAUCCAGCCAUGCCGGGUGUGUGAAGAAGGACUUCGGAUUGUAAAGCACUUUAAGUUGGGAGGAAGGGAAGUAAGUUAAUACCUUGCUGUUUUGACGUUACCAACAGAAUAAGCACCGGCUAACUUCGUG